Long non-coding RNA from Haliotis rubra (blacklip abalone), 155 nucleotides. RefSeq lists it as uncharacterized. NCBI's taxonomy places the organism in Eukaryota, Metazoa, Mollusca, Gastropoda, Lepetellida, Haliotidae. The transcript has 3 exons. The record is from RefSeq and is a predicted model, not a curated record.
ACUUUCAAAAUGACAUCAUCUCACCUCAUGUAAGAAUGCCCAUCUCUGAUUGGUUCAUGUGACCUUGAACAAAUUACCAUGUAUGCCUGGUGCAUGGCCGUACACCGCCCAAGUGGGGUAGAAAUCAUUGCGAGGGAGAAUAAAUCAUUUAUACC